UGGUAGUNCACGCCGUAAACGAUGAGUGCUAGGUGUUAGACCCUUUCCGGGGUUUAGUGCCGCAGCUAACGCAUUAAGCACUCCGCCUGGGGAGUACGACCGCAAGGUUGAAACUCAAAGGAAUUGACGGGGGCCCGCACAAGCGGUGGAGCAUGUGGUUUAAUUCGAAGCAACGCGAAGAACCUUACCAGGUCUUGACAUCCCUCUGACCGCUCUAGAGAUAGAGUUUUCCUUCGGGACAGAGGUGACAGGUGGUGCAUGGUUGUCGUCAGCUCGUGUCGUGAGAUGUUGGGUNNNNNNNNNNNNNCGAGCGCAACCCCUAUUGUUAGUUGCCAUCAUUUAGUUGGGCACUCUAGCGAGACUGCCGGUAAUAAACCGGAGGAAGGUGGGGAUGACGUCAAAUCAUCAUGCCCCUUAUGACCUGGGCUACACACGUGCUACAAUGGCUGGUACAACGAGUCGCAAGCCGGUGACAGCAAGCUAAUCUCUUAAAGCCAGUCUCAGUUCGGAUUGUAGGCUGCAACUCGCCUACAUGAAGUCGGAAUCGCUAGUAAUCGCGGAUCAGCACGCCGCGGUGAAUACGUUCCCGGGCCU
RNAcentral lists this ribosomal RNA (594 nucleotides) under uncultured bacterium. RNAcentral's name for it is "partial 16S ribosomal RNA". It matches the Rfam family "Bacterial small subunit ribosomal RNA", at positions 788 to 1381 of the family's 1533-position model. The record is from RNAcentral.